Molecule: non-coding RNA, 71 nt
Organism: Parelaphostrongylus tenuis
Lineage: Eukaryota; Metazoa; Nematoda; Chromadorea; Rhabditida; Metastrongylidae
Source: the annotation of a GenBank genome assembly
GCCUCGAUGGUGUAGUGGUAGAGCACGCUUUCCCGAUAUGAAUGACGCGGGUUCGAUUCCCGCCUGAGGCC